GAUGAACGCUGGCGGCGUGCCUAAUACAUGCAAGUCGAGCGAAUGGAUUAAGAGCUUGCUCUUAUGAAGUUAGCGGCGGACGGGUGAGUAACACGUUGGUAACCUGCCCAUAAGACUGGGAUAACUCCGGGAAACCGGGGCUAAUACCGGAUAACAUUUUGAACCGCAUGGUUCGAAAUUGAAAGGCGGCUUCGGCUGUCACUUAUGGAUGGACGCGCGUCGCAUUAGCUAGUUGGUGAGGGAACGGAUCACCAAAGCAACGAUGCGUAGCCGACCUGAGAGGGUGAUCGGCCACACUGGGACUGAGACACGGCCCAGACUCCUACGGGAGGCAGCAGUAGGGAAUCUUCCGCAAUGGACGAAAGUCUGACGGAGCAACGCCGCGUGAGUGAUGAAGGCUUUCGGGUCGUAAAACUCUGUUGUUAGGGAAGAACAAGUGCUAGUUGAAUAAGCUGGCACCUUGACGGUACCUAACCAGAAAGCCACGGCUAACUACGUGCCAGCCGCCGCCGUAA
This 515-nucleotide ribosomal RNA is filed under the name uncultured bacterium. Its description in RNAcentral is "partial 16S ribosomal RNA". It matches the Rfam family "Bacterial small subunit ribosomal RNA", at positions 28 to 523 of the family's 1533-position model. The record is from RNAcentral.